Molecule: ribosomal RNA, 417 nt
Filed under: Escherichia coli
Lineage: Bacteria; Pseudomonadati; Pseudomonadota; Gammaproteobacteria; Enterobacterales; Enterobacteriaceae
Description: bacterial SSU rRNA
Rfam family: Bacterial small subunit ribosomal RNA
Source: RNAcentral
CAGUGCCAGCCGCCGCGGUAAUACGAAGGGGGCUAGCGUUGUUCGGAAUUACUGGGCGUAAAGCGCGUGUAAGCGGGUCUUUAAGUCAGGGGUGAAAUGCCAAGGCUCAACCUUGGUACUGCCUUUGAUACUGGAGAUCUUGAGUCCGGGAGAGGUGAGUGGAACUGCGAGUGUCGAGGUGAAAUUCGUAGAUAUUCGCAAGAACACCAGUGGCGAAGGCGGCUUUCUGGACUGUUACUGACGCUGAGGCUAGAAAGCCAGGGGAGAGAACGGGAUUAGAUACCCCGGUAGUCCUGGCAGUAAACGAUGAAUGCUAGGUGUAGGAGGUAUCGACCCCUCCUGUGCCGGAGUUAACGCAAUAAGCAUUCCGCCUGGGGAGUACGGUCGCAAGACUGAAACUCAAAGGAAUUGACGGUU